AUUGAACGCUGGCGGCAUGCCUUACACGUGCAAGUCGAACGGUAACGCGGGGCAACCUGGCGACGAGUGGCGAACGGGUGAGUAAUGCAUCGGAACGUGCCCAGUAGUGGGGAUAGCCCGGCGAAAGCCGGAUUAAUACCGCAUACGACCUACGGGUGAAAGCGGGGAUCGCAAGACCUCGCGCUAUUGGAGCGGCCGAUGUCGGAUUAGCUAGUUGGUGGGGUAAAGGCCUACCAAGGCGACGAUCCGUAGCUGGUCUGAGAGGACGACCAGCCACACUGGGACUGAGACACGGCCCAGACUCCUACGGGAGGCAGCAGUGGGGAAUUUUGGACAAUGGGCGCAAGCCUGAUCCAGCCAUGCCGCGUGCGGGAAGAAGGCCUCGGGUUGUAAACCGCUUUUGUCAGGGAAGAAACGGUCUGGGCUAAUACCCCGGACUAAUGACGGUACCUGAAGAAUAAGCACCGGCUAACUACGUGCCAGCAGCCGCGGUAAUACGUAGGGUGCAAGCGUUAAUCGGAAUUACUGGGCGUAAAGCGUGCGCAGGCGGCUUUGCAAGACAGAUGUGAAAUCCCCGGGCUCAACCCGGGAACUGCAUUUGUGACUGCAUCGCUCGAGUGCGGCAGAGGGGGAUGGAAUUCCCGCGUGUAGCAGUGAAAUGCGUAGAUAUGCGGA
This 675-nucleotide ribosomal RNA is filed under the name uncultured bacterium. Its description in RNAcentral is "bacterial SSU rRNA". It matches the Rfam family "Bacterial small subunit ribosomal RNA", at positions 28 to 702 of the family's 1533-position model. The record is from RNAcentral.